UACGUAGGCAGCAAGCGUUGUUCGGAAUUACUGGGCGUAAAGAGUGUGUAGGCGGUGCUCUAAGUUCGGUGUGAAAUCUCCCGGCUCAACUGGGAGGGUGCGCCGGAAACUGGAAUGCUUGAGCGUGGGAGAGGAAAGCGGAAUUCCUGGUGUAGCGGUGAAAUGCGUAGAUAUCAGGAGGAACACCGGUGGCGAAGGCGGAUCUCUGGGCCUUGCCUGACGCUGAGGCGCGAAAGCUAGGGGAGCGAACAGG
This 253-nucleotide ribosomal RNA is filed under the name uncultured bacterium. Its description in RNAcentral is "partial 16S ribosomal RNA". It matches the Rfam family "Bacterial small subunit ribosomal RNA", at positions 524 to 776 of the family's 1533-position model. The record is from RNAcentral.